This 584-nucleotide ribosomal RNA is filed under the name uncultured Rubrivivax sp. RNAcentral describes it as "bacterial SSU rRNA". It matches the Rfam family "Bacterial small subunit ribosomal RNA", at positions 944 to 1532 of the family's 1533-position model. Lineage: Bacteria; Pseudomonadati; Pseudomonadota; Betaproteobacteria; Burkholderiales; Sphaerotilaceae. The record is from RNAcentral.
GUUUAAUUCGACGCAACGCGAAAAACCUUACCUACCCUUGACAUGCCUGGAAUCCUGCAGAGAUGUGGGAGUGCUCGAAAGAGAGCCAGGACACAGGUGCUGCAUGGCCGUCGUCAGCUCGUGUCGUGAGAUGUUGGGUUAAGUCCCGCAACGAGCGCAACCCUUGUCAUUAGUUGCUACGAAAGGGCACUCUAAUGAGACUGCCGGUGACAAACCGGAGGAAGGUGGGGAUGACGUCAGGUCAUCAUGGCCCUUAUGGGUAGGGCUACACACGUCAUACAAUGGCCGGUACAGAGGGCUGCCAACCCGCGAGGGGGAGCCAAUCCCAGAAAACCGGUCGUAGUCCGGAUCGCAGUCUGCAACUCGACUGCGUGAAGUCGGAAUCGCUAGUAAUCGCGGAUCAGCUUGCCGCGGUGAAUACGUUCCCGGGUCUUGUACACACCGCCCGUCACACCAUGGGAGCGGGUUCUGCCAGAAGUAGUUAGCCUAACCGCAAGGGGGGCGAUUACCACGGCAGGGUUCGUGACUGGGGUGAAGUCGUAACAAGGUAGCCGUAUCGGAAGGUGCGGCUGGAUCACCUCCUU